ACAAGGGAAAAAAAAGGAAUAUAAGAAAGCAACUGUGAAUCUGAGGCUUCAUUUUGAGUUUUCCCCCAAAACAAAAAGGGGAAAACUAAAAGCCUGAUAGGUUACCUUUUUCUAACAAGGAACAACUGUCUCUACUUCGGGUUGCAUGCUUUCUCAAGUUUGAGUUUAGACAGACCACUCUUUUGUGAAUCUUUGCAUAAAGGGUCAUUGAAUAAUGGUCAGAGGCAUUGUCUUUGAAUGUUUUACAGAUAUGCUGAGGUUUGUACUUAGAACUUCUCAUUUUACAUUCAGCCUUUCAGUGAAAGGCGAACGUGAAGCUGACAUUUUAUAAUGGCAAAACUUAGGGGGCCAGAGCUAUAAGACAUGUUCAGAAGACAGGGAUAUGUGUCUUUUUUUCUCUUGUAUUGCUCAUGGUACCUAGCACAAAGUUGGAGAUGUGAUAGACUCUUUAAUACAGGUAUUCUUAUAUGGUUUACCAUGGCAAAAUCAACUUUCAAUUUUGUUUGGUUUUCAGAGUACUUUUCAUGAUAAAAAGGUUCAUUUGUUUUACUCUCAGAGCAUGCUCUGAGCUGAGAAUUAUAAACUAAAGGAGAAAAUAAUGAUGAGCAAAUAAUUGCCCAGGCUCCUAUGGAGAGUUCUCAGUAGAGCUGGAUUUGGUAACUUGAUGAGUUGUCACUGGCAAAUUUAGCAUUCACAUGUCAGACCUAGAAUAAUGCUAGAUGCUUAUCCCUCUCGUAUGGGAGCAGCCAGGAAGUCAGAAGAGGACCACAGACAGAGCGUUUGUUGGUGACAAGGGCUUUCAUAUCUUCAGAACUUGGCAAUAAGUAUUUUUAAAUAAUGGGAAGAAUGAAUUAUUUGAUUUCUGUGAAUUUAAAUUGCAAAAAUGAAAUAUGUGGGAGAAAACAGGUGCCUCCAUCUUUAACUGGAAUUGACAAAGCAGCAUUCACAAAGUGGCAACAAUUUCCUUUGACAUUUAUGAUUGCCCUAAUGCUGUUAAUCAGUGUGAGAUUAUUAUUUUUCCUUUCACAAAUGGAGAAACUGAGGUUCUGAGGGGUGAAGUGAGCUUACCCCAUUCCACAAAACUUGUAACUGCUGAUUCCCAGUUCUUUGUUCAUUUUAUUAGGCCAUGGAUGUUUCCUUAAAUAUAUUUCUCUGGGAAUAAAAUUCUCUUACAGAUCUUCUAGAAAUGGGGAUCUUGGCUUUCUGAAAUGAAAUUAUGUAUGGGCCAGAAGCCAGGAGAUGGAACGUGUGCUUUCUUACGUGUUUUCCUUCCAGCUUCCUUAGUCACGAUUCUUCAUUAUAACUUUGGUAUCUCUGAUAUUGAGUUAACUUUGACGAUGGUAUGGAUGAUGGUGGAUGGGUGGUACAUACAACUUUGAAGCACAUGAUGACUCUCUGGCCACCUACUUUAUUCUCGUAUUUCCCAAGAGGAGGUAAAUACUUCAUUUUAGAGAAACUGGACUCUAACCUAAAGUGGCCGAGAAGUCUAACCUGCAUUGUAAUCUUCAUCAAAUGAAAACACUUUGUUCUUAAAAGUACACUUGUUCCUUCUUCUUGCCCUUGACAAUUUUCUGUUUGAAGCAGCAAGGAACAGAGGAAAGAUAACAUAGUUUAUUCUAUGGAUUUCUACCAGUUCAAUUUUUAAAGUGUUAGCCUCUUAAAAUAAAUGUUUUCAUAAAAGAUCAUGAAGAAACUCGGAUUUUUGUCACUCCAUCAAUAUGUAGGAGGAGGGUAUGUCUGGGUAAGAGCCAAACAAUUAAGGUGUUACUGACCAGAAGUCUCUUGGUUUGCUGUCAUAAAAUGUCACAACUAUCAGCAACCACAAAAUCUUCAAUAAAUGGCACUGCAGACAGAAAUUUUUCUUAACAGUCUGGGUUUGUGAAUUCUCUUUUUUCCUUUCUGGUUUCCCUCUGUAGAUGUCUCUUUCUUCCUUUGUGCUUGGUCUCUCUGUUUCUCUUACUAACAACACACAUAUUUCUCCAUCUCUGUAUCAUCAUCUUCUAUUAGUUUUUCACAAGUGUAUUUCUGUGACUAAAAGGAUCAACAGAUGCUGACUUCAAUAUUGUGAAGCAUCCAGAAAAAGAACAAUUAAUUUAUAACAAACCUGCUUUGCUCUAACACUGACAGCUUUUGAAAAUGUAUACUGUAUGUGAGAUCCACAUCUCAUUUUGUUUUCAUUUAGAUGGUCAACAGCAUUUAACUCGAAGUUAGGUUUAAAUUCCCCCCAUGAGACUUGUCAGUUUUUGUCAGAAAUAAAACCAAUGAAUAUUUCCAUUUUAAAUAUUUAAAAGACCUUUUAAAUAAUGUGUUGAUAUUUUUGCUUGCAUUUUUGUUAUUAUCUUAACACUCUCUAUUGCUAUCUGCUUCAAUAUAGGAAAAAUGCAGUUACAAAUGUUUCCUGGUUAUAGUUAUUAAGAAUUAUCCCUAAUCUUAGGCUAGAUAUAUACAGAAGAUAAUCGUGUUCUAGAGUGUUCCUGCUGAAUAAAGUUGCCACUUAAUAAGAAACAGAUAUCAUGACUAGGUUGCCCUUGGAACUAACUGUCCAAGCGUGAACAAAUAUAUAUACUACAUCACACAUACACUCACAGUGCACAACACACUUAUACACUUCUCACAUACUCGCCUUUCUUUUACAACUUUCUGGCUCAGCAUGCCCAUGUCAUGAGCUAAUUCUGACCUAACAGAGAGGCUGUGCAGUCUUUCAGCUAGUGGAGGCUGAGAAAAUUGUGCAGCAAUAGGUCCAGUCCCUGGAAGAUGAAGUUAGUUAGCAUUUGGUGCCCAGCCAGCAGCAAUGUGACUUAGGCUUUUCGUCCUAGUAGGUAUGGAGUUCUGCUCUGAGCAACAAUUCAUUUAUUUUGUGCCAAUAUUCUGACUAGCUCAUUCUAGAAUCUUCUAUUUUGGUCAGAAUCUGUCCUAUAUUCUUGGCUGUGGUUCAAUUCUUUCAAUCAAAGAUCUGCCUAAUCCUGUUUUCCCAUAGCUAAUGUUGACAGGGUUCACCACGCCAUCUUCAUCUCCGCCCCCACUUCUCAUCUUCAGCCCAAACCAAUCUUCAUCUCUAUCUUCAUCUUUACUUCCAUCCACACAGCAAUCUUCAACUCCAUCUACCAAUACCAGUCUUAAGCUCCUGUGCCCCACCAUCCUCAGUCAUAGCAGUGCUCGAUGUGAUAACCUAAUCAAAAAUUUCAAACCAAACUGCCCAGCAUUCAUGGUUGUAAAGGACAUGUAGAAUCAGUCAACUGAUAGAUACAAAGUAACACUGAAACUGAUUGAGCAAUAAUCAGAAAGUUGGCGCUGCAAUAGCUUCCUCAGUUGUACCUCUCUGUCCACCGCCCAGCUCUUUCCUGUUGCUUCCAGUUCCUCUCACUUGUACUUCUUUAUUAACUAUUUGUUAACAUAACUUUCUAUGGUUUUCUUUCACCUAAGACCCAAACCUCUUCUCCUGGCUUGCAUUUCCACGACUCCCUGCCCAAGCCUGAGGUUGCACAAGAAACAUAUCUCUAAUUAAUGUCCCCUGUUCCAGGAAUUUGACUCAUUGGGCCUGCAAAAGAUUUUCGUGACAAAUGAAAUAUUUUUCUAAACCAAGGACUUGGGGAUAACUUCAGGGUCAAAGACAUCUUAUCAUAUUUAAGAACAGCCACAGGAUGUCUAGGAGCCAGCAGAGGGGCCAGAUAUGCUGCAGUUUAUGCUGUAAAAGGAAGCCUGCCGCCGUGAGUGGUCCAGUGGGAGCUCUUGCUUUGUGUCCUCAGCCUUUCACCUUUCCAUCUGAUGACUUGCUCUGAAUCUUCACUUCCUGGGCAGAGCUCUGAGUAUAGAUGAGGCAAACUUCACAUGGAAAAGAAGCCAUAUUUUGAAAAAACUACACGGAAUCAAAGAGAACUAACUCAAAGAAGCAAAAUUUUGGAGAUAAAACAAGCACCAUUCAGAAUCUGGACAUAUAAUAUGUUUAUGGCAUUUAACCUAGUCAGACAGUAGAUAUUGCUCUAAGUCAUGGCCUACACCUGUGAGCCUACUUAUAUCAGCAUUUGCCAAAUGUACUUGUAGCUGUGGUACUGACCUCAGAGAACUUAGCCAAAGAGCAAAGACUGCCUAAUUCAAGAAGUACUGGCUGUACAGGAAGCAUAAUGCCAGCAUCUGUUUCUGGUGAGGCCUCAGGAAGCUUUUACUUAUGGUGGAAGGUGAAGGAGGAACAGGUGUCUCACAGGGCAAGAGGAGCAAGAGGGAGCAGGUGGGGAUUGGUGCCACACACUUGUAAACAUCCACAUUUUGUGAGAACUCACUAUCUCAAAAACAGCACCAAGCCAUGAGGAAUCCCUUCCUAUGACCCAAACACCUCCC
RNAcentral lists this long non-coding RNA (4335 nucleotides) under Homo sapiens (human). RNAcentral describes it as "HSALNT0311148". Lineage: Eukaryota; Metazoa; Chordata; Mammalia; Primates; Hominidae. The record is from RNAcentral.